This 529-nucleotide long non-coding RNA is filed under the name Triticum aestivum (bread wheat). RNAcentral describes it as "long non-coding RNA (TAES_LNC020393)". Lineage: Eukaryota; Viridiplantae; Streptophyta; Magnoliopsida; Poales; Poaceae. The record is from RNAcentral.
UUUUCUCCAUGCGAAAAGACAUAGUUGCCCCUGUGGCUGAUUUACAGUUUGAUACCGUACAAAUCUUUUUUCUUUACAAGCCAUGUCCAACUGAAGCAACUAAUUAACAGGGAACAAAUCAUAUCUACUUUCUUUACAUGGCUGUACCCAACGAACCAGGUACUCACAAAUCAUAGAUUGAUUCUGUUGCUUGCGUCGUCAUGUUCAUGGCUAGUGGAGAGGCAGAUCCACCGCACAUAUAUAGAUCUCUCACCUGUGACUGAAGGAGAUUCAGCAAGAGAUGAAGCAUAUAUAUUUUCAGUGUGAUACAAUUAAACUCUGAAGCAUCUGGGGGAGAUAACUGAACGAAGUGUUUUAUACAAUGUACCCAGCUCCAUGACUGAAGCAGUACGAGCUGCUAGGGUAAUUAGUACUAUCAACACUGUCGCCCAGCCAUGGCUAUUACUGGCAACGCAACGAGCUCACACACAAAAAAUUAUAAAUCUAUGAAUCACUGAAAGAACUUAGUUUUUACCAGCAACGAGCGCAC